Molecule: long non-coding RNA, 1692 nt
Filed under: Felis catus (domestic cat)
Lineage: Eukaryota; Metazoa; Chordata; Mammalia; Carnivora; Felidae
Description: lncRNA (ENSFCAG00000042304.2)
Source: RNAcentral
GAAUACCAGUCAGGGUUGUUACAUUCCCUGGGGGCUCUGACCACCACAGGAUCCAUGCCUAUGUAAGCAAGGAAGGCAACCUCCUCUUGGGAGUCAUAUGCCAUGAGGCCCAGUAACUCCAUGCAUUCUAAAUGUGUCAGAGCAUGAAGACGUCAGAUCCAGCAGGGAGCUGUCCCUUGUCACUCCUUCUCAUUUCUCUGCUCUUCAUCCCUGUGGCUGCCUUGGAGGAAAACAUAAAACCUUCCAGACUGUUUCUAAUUGCAUAAUCCCAGGCCCCUGGACCUGCUGCCACUCUGUGUCCUGCCCCUGCCCAGGCCCUCUUCCUGGUUCAGGCACAGAAUGCCAACCUGACUCCCAGCAUGGAAACAAAUUAGUUUCUGAUGGAAAGGGAUUUGACUCAGAAGGAGAGAAAAUGCUUUGAGGACACUCCAGCAAAGGAAGCCUCUUUACCACCAGGUGGUCACCAAUAAUCUCUAAGAAGAUGCGAGGUACCUUAUAGUUGUAAACAAUUGCAGUAUCAGAUCUUUUCAAAAAGAACACAGCAGAGACAUCAGUUCAACGUUGGAGAAAUAGGAAAGAUUUCAUGCCAUAAAAUCAGGGAGGCUCUUGAAACAUCGCUGACGUCCUAAUCUCCUUUUUCAGGUAGGAAGGGGAGAGGAGGUGGGGGAGAGCAGACUGAGUGAGAGCUUAAGUUGAUCAGUAGUUACAAACACUUGAUACUGUGCUUAUACAUUCUGUUUUAGGUUUUUAAACAUCUAAGAAUACCAGGUAAAUUUAUCAGUACUUACCUGGCAAAGAAGAGAGAGGGAGAGUAUGUAUGUGCAUGGAGAGAAUAAACUCUGCAUAAGUUUACCAGCAUCGCAUGGCAAGCAGGAGGAUGCUGAUUUCACCAAUGAAAUAGCUAAUAAGAGCACAAAAGCAGACAUCUCAAAAGCAUUCCAGACUCCAAAGAAAAAGAGAAUGUUCAGAAGAGGCUUCCAACCUGCUGGAAUAAAUCCCUUUGAACCUAAGAGAGGAAGAGCUCAUAUAAGCCACACUAAAAGUCAGAAUUUAUUGUUUAUCAGCAUGUUUAAUAAAAUUUAUUUUGAAAAGUAUAUUAAGCAGUACAAUAAAAUAAUACCUAUCUGUAUUAAAAAAUCACACUAUAGAUUUAGCCUGUUUCAUACUGUUGCUGGUCCUGCCAAUAUACACUUUUGUUCACUGCUUUUAGAUCCUUGAGAUGACCUUUAUCAUCUAAAAUAAUAUGCUUACGCUUUUAUUUAUUGUUUCAACAGCUAUAGAUGGCGUCUCUUAACACUCUGCCUUAUAAAUGGGAAUUUAACCUUUGUAAUUCUUAUUUUUAUAUCUUUUUUCCCCUCUUGUUAAAGUCAACCUCAUACACAAAAAGGCAGAGGAGGAGGUCAUCAGGCAAAGAAGUCAGGAACAAAGGUUUAAAGAAAAUACGACUUUUUAGAACAGGUGUGUUUUCGGGGCGCCUGGGUGGCACAGUCGGUUAAGCGUCCGACUUCAGCCAGGUCAGGAUCUCGCGGUCCGGGAGUUCGAGCCCCGCGUCAGGCUCUGGGCUGAUGGCUCAGAGCCUGGAGCCUGUUUCUGAUUCUGUGUCUCCCUCUCUCUCUGUCCCUCCCCCGUUCAUGCUCUGUCUCUCUCUGUCCCAAAAAUAAAUAAACGUUGGAAAAAAAAAUGUUUAGAACA